GGCACUGUGGCUUAGCUGGUUAAAGCACCUGCCUAGUAAGCUGGAGAUCCUGCGUUCAAGUCCCAGCAGUGCCU
RNAcentral lists this transfer RNA (74 nucleotides) under Alligator sinensis (Chinese alligator). It matches the Rfam family "tRNA". From Rfam's summary of the family: Transfer RNA (tRNA) molecules are approximately 80 nucleotides in length. Their secondary structure includes four short double-helical elements and three loops (D, anti-codon, and T loops). Lineage: Eukaryota; Metazoa; Chordata; Crocodylia; Alligatoridae. The record is from Rfam by way of RNAcentral.